RNAcentral lists this ribosomal RNA (516 nucleotides) under Triticum aestivum (bread wheat). RNAcentral describes it as "partial small subunit ribosomal RNA". The record is from RNAcentral. Lineage: Eukaryota; Viridiplantae; Streptophyta; Magnoliopsida; Poales; Poaceae.
AUGUUUCUCGUUUAUGGAGGUGACAAAGAGCUCGUCGUAAAUGGUUACGUCGAUGCAAGCUUUGACACUGAUCCGGACGAUUCUAAAUCGCAAACCGGAUACGUGUUUUUAUUAAACGGUGGAGCUGUCAGUUGGUGCAGUUCUAAACAAAGCGUCAUAGCGGGAUCUACAUGUGAAGCGGGGUACAUAGCUGCUUCAGAAGCAACAAAUGAAGGAGUCUGGAUGAAGGAGUUCAUAUCCGAUCUAGGUGUCAUACCUAGUGCAUCGGGUCCAAUGAAAAUCUUUUGUGACAAUACUGGUGAGAUAGCUUUGGCAAAAGAAUCCAGAUUUCACAAGAGAACCAAGCACAUCAAGAGACACUUCAACUCCAUCCGGGAUCAAGUCCAGGUGGGAGACAUAGAGAUUUGCAAGAUACAUACGGAUCUAAAUGUUGCAGACCCGUUGACUAAGCCUCUUCCACGAGCAAAACAUGAUCAACACCAAGGCUCCAUGGGUGUUAGAAUCAUUACUGUGUAA